RNAcentral lists this ribosomal RNA (400 nucleotides) under uncultured bacterium. RNAcentral's name for it is "bacterial SSU rRNA". It matches the Rfam family "Bacterial small subunit ribosomal RNA", at positions 62 to 507 of the family's 1533-position model. The record is from RNAcentral.
UCGCACGGUCAGCAAUGGCAGUGGCGGACGGGUGAGUAACACGUAGGAAUCUAUCCCAGGGNUGGGGGACAACAGCGGGAAACUGCUGCUAAUACCGCAUGAUACCUGAGGGUCAAAGGCGCAAGUCGCCUUGGGAGGAGCCUGCGUCUGAUUAGCUUGUUGGUGAGGUAAAGGCUCACCAAGGCUACGAUCAGUAGCUGGUCUGAGAGGAUGAUCAGCCACAUUGGGACUGAGACACGGCCCANACUCCUACGGGAGGCAGCAGUGGGGAAUAUUGGGACAUGGGCGAAAGCCUGAUCCCAGCAUGCCGCGUGUGUGAAGAAGGUCUNCGGAUNGUAAAGCACUUUUGGCAGGGACGAUGAUGACGGUACCUGCANAAUUAGCCCGGGCUAACUUCGUG